This is a long non-coding RNA of Apteryx rowi (Okarito brown kiwi), 1341 nucleotides long. The record is from Ensembl. NCBI's taxonomy places the organism in Eukaryota, Metazoa, Chordata, Aves, Apterygiformes, Apterygidae.
GUUUCCAAGCAGGUGCUUCAUCUUUUGUUCUGAACAUGCAUAAUUCUGGGUCACCUCCAUAGGCCUGCCAGCAGCCCCAGGGUGGUUCUCCAGAACUUAAUGGUGCUCCAGCAAAAGGCCAUGAAAAGCCUACUGAACAGAGCAAUGCAAAGUUCACCAACCAGUUCUCUGAACAGACCAUCCACAGAGGUUUCGAUCCAGUUUGUUCCUCUGUGGACUGUGGACCUUGUCUUCUCAUUGCCAACCAGUUCCCACAUCGCAGCUGCCACGCUGGUCCAUCUGUCUCUUUCCAGGCCCUGCUCGGAAUUACACUGUGCCUCACAUUCCACCUUGUUCAGUUCUGUACUGCUGGGCCUCCAGGAUCACACUUGGACAAUGGAUAAGCAUGAAUCCUUGGUUUUCAUACUCUCUUAGUAUCUUGUGGUGGAUAUGUGGCUCAUGCUUAGAGGAAAACAUCACUAUCCUGAAUCCUGAAGAUUGUGUAUUUGCAGUACGGAACCUCUAUCUGGAUAUCUUAAAUAUUUUCUUGCUUGUAUUUCAUUUAUUUGGAUUUUCAUGCAGAUGACCUAAAAAGGGAACUGUGGCAUAAUUUCAAAGUGUAAGGCUAAUGAAAAAUACGUACAAAAAAUUUUGUCAGCUUCAUAUGUCACUACAGAAAGGGGUUCUAUAAAGAUCAAGACCUGCAUAAUUUAAUGUGACACCAUCCUGUCAACAGUUAGCUUUAACAUUUUGCUAGUGAGAUGUAAUCUUAAGUGUCUCUGAAGAGUAGGAGAAAACAGGGCUUUGCAGUUAAGAAGUUAGGAAGCAUUUUUUAUUUAGUCCAUUAUUGUAUUUUAAAUAAGUUUUCAUGAACUACUUACAUUGUUUUACGUUGUUAUAUAUUUGGACAAUAGUAUAAAUGCUACGCUUGACUAUUUUUAAAGAAGUCGACUGAAAGCAUAUCAUUGCAGAAAGUCAAGACUUCAUUCAUUCCUUUGCCCUUCUGCAAAGACUGACAGAAAACCCAUCUCAUGCAGUAAUUACAGGGGAUCCAUCGCCUCCUUUCAGUGCAUAUCCUGUGUUCAGCUAACAGGACUAAAUGGUAAAUUGAUAUUCAGUUUUGCAUCUUCACUAGCUUCUCUACAUCUUUCAAAUUUCCAUAUCUGGCUGACCUGCAACAGUAACAGGGACAAUAAUUGUUAUGUUGUCUAAUAACUCAGAGUAGAUUAGAUUGUCUGCACAGUUUUCAGUAAAGUAACUAGCUACCCCUGUAUCUGUGUUUGACUUCCAUUCUUACCAACCCCUGUGAGCAUUAUUUUGGGAUGCCUGAUGUGUGCUGGGAAAGGGAGAGAGAAGGAGGAG